This 338-nucleotide unclassified non-coding RNA is filed under the name soil metagenome. Its description in RNAcentral is "partial contains 5.8S ribosomal RNA, internal transcribed spacer 2, and large subunit ribosomal RNA". The stretch from base 1 to 120 matches the Rfam family "5.8S ribosomal RNA", at positions 35 to 154 of the family's 154-position model. The record is from RNAcentral.
GAUGAAGAACGUAGUGAAAUGCGAUAAGUAAUGUGAAUUGCAGAAUUCAGUGAAUCAUCGAAUCUUUGAACGCACAUUGCGCCCUCUGGUAUUCCGGAGGGCAUGCCUGUUCGAGCGUCAUUUCAACCCUCAAGCAUUGCUUGGUGUUGGGGCACCGCCUGUAAAAGGGCGGGCCCUGAAAUCUAGUGGCGAGCUCGCCAGGACCCCGAGCGUAGUAAUUAUAUUUCGUUCUGGAAGGCCCUGGCGGUGCCCUGCCGUUAAACCCCCAACUUCUGAAAAUUUGACCUCGGAUCAGGUAGGAAUACCCGCUGAACUUAAGCAUAUCAAUAAGCGGAGGA